Drosophila miranda is the source of this 955-nucleotide long non-coding RNA. RefSeq lists it as uncharacterized. The record is from RefSeq and is a predicted model, not a curated record. NCBI's taxonomy places the organism in Eukaryota, Metazoa, Arthropoda, Insecta, Diptera, Drosophilidae. The transcript has 2 exons.
GGUGUUUAGUUCCAGCUCGAAGGAGAGGUACAUGCGCACCAGAGACUUGUAUUUUUCAUAAUUGCUGUUGCGCAUGCGUGUCGCUAGGUCGCGGUCAUUAAAUUCAUUGAUGUUGGCGUAUUCCAUGUCCAUUGUUAUACGCAAGGGCGUAUACAGGGCGACAGCAGUAGCCAAAGCAACAAAACAACAGCACAGCACAAACGAAAAGGACUUCCGUAGAUUCGAAUCCCAGCACUCACACGCUCACUUUAACAAAUAUUACUUUUCUAAAAGUACAAUAUAGAAGCUGAAAUUAGUUAAUAAAUCUCCUAAAGAACUCGAAAUUACAAAUUUCGGACCAGCCGAUUGAGGCGCCAAACACAUGGCGCCAAAGCUGGCCGAUAAACCGGCUAUAUACUGUGGUAGGACCGAUCCCUUGGACAUGUUGUGUUCUGUUCUGUUCUCCGUGAUGCAAAAAAUGGAACUGAAACUGACACGCAGACCGUUAUUUGGCUUGACAAAUUGCCCUGCAUGAGAUAACCAAAGCGUCGACGCUGGCGUACAACUGGCACGCUGGCAGAGGGGGAAAUACUUGAAGUUGGAGAGAGUCGUAAAUCAGAUUCUACAGUUUCCCUUUAGAACGGCGGCGGAGGCAGAGGUGUGGAAAGCGCGCUUUAACGUAAGCAAAAGUCCCCAAAAAGCAAUCGGAAUCUGAAACAGCUAAUUAAAUGACUGCUGAUAUGCCACCGCCACCUCCACCCACCCCCAAUACACACACCCCGCCUAUUGUUAUAAGAACAAUCAAGUGCCUCUAUAACAAUCCGUUCGCUGCCAGUCGGCUAUCUGGAGCUACUGAUUAUACUUUUGCGCGGAACUUAGGCACUUUAUAUUUCAUCUUGCUACGCUACGAAAAUGGUAUUUAUUACACACAGAUUGAAUCAGUAUCGGAUCACCGCAAAAUUAUAUAUCUGCUAUA